Molecule: long non-coding RNA, 1126 nt
Organism: Mustela erminea (ermine)
Lineage: Eukaryota; Metazoa; Chordata; Mammalia; Carnivora; Mustelidae
Exons: 5
Source: RefSeq, a predicted model, not a curated record
ACCAAACCACCCAGGCACCUCUUGAAUUCUGAGCUCUGCUCACACAAUGAAUCUGGCAUUUAAAGAUGUGCUGUUGAGUUCUUUACAAGACAGCAGUACAAGGAGAGUUACCUAUUUUUCUUCUUGAAGGUUGAGAAGAAAUUGGUGCUGAGAAUCUCUGCCUUCAGAGAUUUCUGCAUUUUUCCAAGGGAAACCAGCAAAAUAUGAAGAAGUCCUGUAUUCUCAAGGUAGGAGAGUUCUUUAUGGCAUGUAGGCACAUGAUGGGAGGCCAGUAACUUAUCACACUGGUGAGGAAUGUCUGUCAUGCUUUCUCCUCCAACCAAGUACAAAGGCAUCCUUAUCAUUUGCGGAUGUGACUGUGGGCUUUACCCAGGAGGAGUGGCAGCACCUGGACCCUGCUCAGAGGACCCUGUACAGGGAGGUGAUGCUGGAGAACUAUAGCCACCUUGUCUCAGUGGGUAAGAAUUGUUUCCCGUGUAGACUCCUAGUAUGCACUUUCAUUCUUGGGCCCAGUUUGGCCUCUGGGCUUGUUUCUGUGAAAUGAGCGCAACACUCGGUUUUCCUCAAUUUGGAGCUGCAGCAAUGCCAGCCCCAGUGAGCUGGCUCUGUGAUGACCAAGAGAGCAAGCUGUUGUAGAGGCUACUCCACUGAGGAAGGAAGGCACAUCCUGGUUGAUCUGUAAACCGAGACCAACACAUGUGCAGAACACUUGUUCAUAAUGAAUUACCCCUCUAGCCUAAGGGAUGACUCUGUUCCGUCUCCCAAGUAAACCUUUUGCAGUGUGGUCUUCCUUGAAAAGCUCACAUCCUUUUAGCCCAAGUAAUGGAAAAGGAACCAGCACAAAUGCAUGCAAAAAGAUUAUAAGAAAAAAGGGGUGAAAAGUAUUGGGAAGAAAGCUAGUUGGUGAUGGAAUUGUCAUCUGAUCAAAGUGGUCAUAAAGUAGGUAAAUUAUGUGACCAAAUAUUAAAUCAUGAGUUUCCAAAGGGUAACUAAUUGAAUUAAUUAUCUCUGUGAUACAAGUAUUUAAGAAAGAUAUUAAUAAGGGAAUAGCAAACACAUGGCAGGGUGUCAAACUGAGAAAAGAGAAGAGAAAAUAAAAUUACAGUAAAGAAAGCAAAUUGGGGGC